RNAcentral lists this long non-coding RNA (615 nucleotides) under Nicotiana tabacum (common tobacco). RNAcentral's name for it is "long non-coding RNA (NTAB_LNC009919)". The record is from RNAcentral. Lineage: Eukaryota; Viridiplantae; Streptophyta; Magnoliopsida; Solanales; Solanaceae.
AACGAGGAACGGUCAUGGAGGGGCGGUGACUAUGGUUCCUUAGGUUGUAUUUGAUGGCCCGGAAAAGUUUUAGGCGAUCCGCUUCUGGAGGGCCCGACCCACUCGGAAGACGUGGGCUAUAGCACACAAAAAUAUGGGAAUCGGGAAGAAUUCUAGUUUUUUGGCCAUAAAACGAAAAACAAUGAGGAGCAGACAUGACGGGGUGGUGACUAUGGUUCCUUUGUUCGUAUUUGAUGGCCCGAAAAUAUUUUAGGUGAUUCGCUUUUCUAGGGGGGUCGGGCUCACUCGGAAGACGUGGGCUAUAGCACACGACAAUAUGGGAAUGAGGUAGAAUUCUAGUUUUUCGGCCGUAAAAUGCAAAAAAAAAACAUGGAGUAGUAAUGACGGGGCAGUGACUAUCGUUCCUUAGGUCGUAUUUGAUGGCCCGAAAAAAUUUUAGGCGAUCCGAUUCUGUGGCGUGGGCUAUAUAGCACACGAAAAUAUGGAAAUCGGGCGGAAUUCUAGUUUUUUUACCUUAAAAUGCAAAAAACAUGAGGAACGGUCAUGGAGGGGAAGUGACUAUGAUUCCUUAGGUCGUAUUUGAUGGCUCGGAAAAAGUUUAGGCGAUUCGGUUCC